GAUGAACGCUGGCGGCGUGCCUAAUACAUGCAAGUCGAGCGAACAGACGAGAGUGCUUGCACUCUCUGACGUUAGCGGCGGACGGGUGAGUAACACGUGGGUAACCUACCUAUAAGACUGGGAUAACUUCGGGAAACCGGAGCUAAUACCGGAUAAUAUUUAGCUUCGCAUGAAGCAAUAGUGAAAGACGGUUCUGCUGUCACUUAUAGAUGGACCCGCGGUGUAUUAGCUGGUUGGUGAGGUAACGGCUCACCAAGGCAACGAUACAUAGCCGACCUGAGAGGGUGAUCGGCCACACUGGGACUGAGACACGGCCCAGACUCCUACGGGAGGCAGCAGUAGGGAAUCUUCCGCAAUGGACGAAAGUCUGACGGAGCAAUGCCGCGUGAGUGAAGAAGGUUUUCGGAUCGUAAAACUCUGUUGUAAGGGAAGAACAAGUACGUUAGUAACUGAACGUACCUUGACGGUACCUUACCAGAAAGCCACGGCUAACUACGU
RNAcentral lists this ribosomal RNA (498 nucleotides) under uncultured bacterium. Its description in RNAcentral is "partial 16S ribosomal RNA". It matches the Rfam family "Bacterial small subunit ribosomal RNA", at positions 28 to 506 of the family's 1533-position model. The record is from RNAcentral.